Molecule: RNA transcript, 2886 nt
Organism: Setaria italica (foxtail millet)
Lineage: Eukaryota; Viridiplantae; Streptophyta; Magnoliopsida; Poales; Poaceae
Gene name: pectin acetylesterase 5
Exons: 14
Source: RefSeq, a predicted model, not a curated record
UGGCACCUGUCGAGCGAUGUCGGAAGGGAGGGAUAUAGGCCCUGAAACCAUGGCAUACAAAAUUCCAAACAGGCCGCGCCACACUUUUAAAUCUGGAGAAUUUUUGUGAAAUUCGAUUUGCGAGGAGCGUAUGAUUGGAUGGUGAUCUAAUUCAUAAGACAGUUGACCUUUUGUUUCAGAGAGGAAAGCAGUCACCUACCGUCCGUACAAAACAAGGUCUUAUCCCAGAUUUAGUUCAAAUCUGAGAUAUGCACGAUUAUGGUCAAUCAGAACUACAAGAUACCUUCUGCAAUUCAGCUCUUGGUGGGUACAAUUCCAUUCCAUCCCGGGCGUUGACAAACUAGCAGUUUCCACGACGCCACAACUACCCGGCGUUGCGUCUGUUCUUGGCUGCAGGCCUGCAGCAGCCAGGCCCGCGCGAUGGCCAUGGCGACCGCGCUACGGUCCUCGCCGCUCGUCCCGCAGCAUCGACCACGCUUCCCUGUCUCGGCGGUGGCGCCAUGGCUCGUCAUGCUCCUGGCCCUGGCAGCCUUGUCCUGCUCAUCGCCGGUGGCGGUGGCGGCGGGCUCUCCGGAGGUCGUCGAGCUGACCCUCCUCGCAAACGCUCAGGAGAAGGGCGCGGUUUGCUUGGACGGUAGCCCGCCGGCUUACCACCUCCAGAGAGGCUUCGGCUCCGGAAAACACAGCUGGAUCGUCAAUCUUGAGGGAGGUGCAUGGUGCAACACCACGGAAGAUUGUUCUGACCGCAGAAUGACCGACCUUGGUUCAUCCAAAUUCAUGAAAGCAAUAGAGUUUGAGGGGAUACUCAGCAACAAGCGCUCACAAAAUCCCUAUUUCUACAACUGGAAUAAAGUUGACGUAAGGUACUGUGACGGAGGAUCAUUUGCUGGAGAUGCUGAGGGCAAAGAUCGGAAUGGAACAAAACUUUUCUUCAGAGGAUUGCGUAUCUGGGAAGCCGUCGUUGACGAACUCAUGGGGAAAGGACUGGCCACUGCUAAACAGGCCUUACUUUCAGGUUGUUCUGCUGGUGGCCUUGCUGCCCUACUGCACUGCGAUGAUUUCCGUGCACGAUUCCCUCAGGAGGUUCCAGUAAAAUGCCUUUCGGAUUCUGGAUUCUUUCUUGAUGUAAAGGAUUUAUCAGGGGAAAGGUUCAUGCGGUCGAUCUUCAGUGGAGUUGUUCACCUUCAGAAUGUUAGAGAAGUUUUGCCCAAGGACUGCAUUGCAGAGAAGGAGCCAAUAGAGUGUUUCUUUCCUGCUGAGCUUAUUAAGAGUAUAAGCACCCCCACAUUUAUCCGGAACUCUGGUUACGAUUCAUAUCAGGUAGGAAAUGUAGUGGCGCCAGGCGGAUCUGAUCCUGGACAGUCAUGGUCGCGUUGCAAAGCUGAUAUUCGAAACUGUACUUCCACACAAAUCGAGGCAAUGAAUGAAUUCAGGAAGGAAUUUGUCGAGGCUUUGAAGGUUGCUCAAUGCAAGAGCAACUGGGGGCUGUUCAUCGACUCCUGCUUCAACCACUGUCAGACGCCAUUCAGAAUCACAUGGCAUUCGCAGAUCUCCCUGAGGCUUGGUAAUAAGACGAUCGCCGAAGCUGUUGCGGACUGGUAUGUUGGUGGAGGCCAUGGAGUAAAAGAGAUUGACUGCGAGUAUCCAUGCAUUAACCCCACUUGUAGCAGUCAGCUCGACCUGUAACGGGAGGAGUUUUACAUGAACAUUUCUUUUACAUGAACAUUUCUUCAAAAUUAAUAAAACUUCCUUUAUCGGAAAAAGAGACAGGUUUACAUGAACAUUUCUUUUCUUUUUUAGAAACAAAACACGAACAUUUUAGAUUUCACAGUUGCCACUUGUGAUCUCCAUUGCGGGCUCCAUCGAAUGCUAAGGCGUAACACACAUUACAAAAUGUUUUCCUUCCCAUGUUCUGUGCGAAUCUCGGUGCGAUUCCAAUGGUACAUUGCGUAGUGACAACCUGACAGGUGCCAUUGGUUAAAAACUGCCUUUUUUUCCGGUUGAUUGUUGGAGUCUUGUACAGGAUGGGAGCCGCUUGGCCUUGUGAUACAUGCGUGCCAACGACUGGUGAGGAUAGUGACAUGAAUCAAUCUGGUUUUAAGUGGCAAGAAAGAUCACACGCAACAGGUCUGAAAGCGGAGCGCACUUAGCCGUAAUUAGUCACUCUCGACAGGUACGUUUAUGUAGCAUUGUAGCUCCAUCAGACAAAUAUUUGUUUUUCGAAAUACAAAUAUUAAGCGACUAUAUCCAGAACGUCACUUACUACUCUUUUUCUUAAGAGGAAUCGAGUUGCAGGUAGCAGCUGACUUAUAGCUGCCAGGACUAACAGCAUGCUGACGUGGACGUGGAUUUGAUUUUGAGGUGAGCUGUUGCAGAGAAAGACGCCACCACGUUCUUCUCCACGAAUCUCCAUCCGCUUGAGGUCCAAGCAGAUGGCUUGGUGGGCGCUGUCCGCAUCGGCUACGGCGACCUGUGGUAUGGCCCGCCAGAGCGCCAGCGCAAGGCCGGAGACAGGUUGUUGGUGAGCAGCUAAUUUCAAUUUCAACCAUGUUCUCCACUCUCCAACCGCACAAAAAGGCCAUGGCGACCGAGCUGCUGUCCCCCCUCCUCCCGCAGCGUCGACGGGGCCUGGCUGUCGCCGCGGCGGCGCCCCUGCUCCUGCUCCUCCUGGUCGUUGUCGUCUUCUCCCGCUCACGGCUGACGGUGAGCUCCCCGGAGCGCGUCGACCUGACCCUCGUCGCCGGGGCUCGGGAGAAGGGCGCGGUGUGCUUGGAUGGGAGCCCGCCUGGUUACCACCUGCGGAGAGGCUUCGGCUCCGGAGCUCACAACUGGCUCAUCUACCUUCAGGGAGGAGCUUGGUGCAACACCACACAAAGUUGCUCCGAG